UUGCUACGCCUGGCAUCCUGUAAUUUGUCAGCCUGAAUAACAUCAUGCAUUUCCUCCAACAAUUUUUGAAGGGCGUCAGGUGUGCUAAGCCCUCUGAUAUCCAUUUCAUGUAUUGGAUGUCUGAAAGAUACCAACAUAAUCGAACACAGCGGUGAUUAAAGGUGCUUUUCUCCAAGUUUCGGCAAAUCGAGCUCGACUCACCAUUGUGUAGCUUGUAAUAAAAAUUAUUCAAGUGUUUGGUGCUGUUGAGCCAUCACGUCUGGCUUCUAGCAGGACAUUACGAGGAUUAUGACCUUGUAGCGGUUCACAAUUAAUUUGCACAUAAAUUCCAAAGGCGGCAAUAACGAGAGGCCAUACAAUGUUUAUUGUGGGUGUAGCAGACGACUCAAAGCUACUGACUUCACCUAGCGGCUGCUCGGUUGGUUCAACACUGCAUCCAAUGGUCAAAACCGUGAAACUACAAACUAGGUACAGUCAUAGGAAGUCCCUUAUUCUCUAACAGUGGCAAAAAGAAUUUAAUGUACGCAAAAUUCGAAAUAAAAAAAAUCCACCAAAACUUGACAAAUUGAAGGAAAACAAAGAGUUUCGUUGGAUGAAUAUCUUUUGCCUUCCUUGUUUUACGUUAGGUUCUGUCAGACUUAUUGUGACCUGUGACAACAAAUGCAGUUGCAAAUGCAGUUUUCUGCCUUCAACCCUGCUCCCUAGACAAGUUGUAUUUUCUCCUGAUGAAAUCAAAUUUUUUUACAAAGGAAAGUAACGAUCGAACUUGUAAACUGAUGUGUUACUCCUAUCGUAUUUUUACCGAUUUUCAAAAAAGACAAUAAAGAGUUUCACCAUG
Long non-coding RNA from Daphnia magna, 838 nucleotides. RefSeq lists it as uncharacterized. NCBI's taxonomy places the organism in Eukaryota, Metazoa, Arthropoda, Branchiopoda, Diplostraca, Daphniidae. The record is from RefSeq and is a predicted model, not a curated record. The transcript is spliced from 3 exons.